CAGCCGCCACGGUAAGACAGAAGAUGCAAGCGUUGUCCGGAAUUAUUGGGCGUAAAGGGCUCGCAGGCGGUUUCUUAAGUCUGAUGUGAAAGCCCCCGGCUCAACCGGGGAGGGUCAUUGGAAACUGGGAAACUUGAGUGCAGAAGAGGAGAGUGGAAUUCCACGUGUAGCGGUGAAAUGCGUAGAGAUGUGGAGGAACACCAGUGGCGAAGGCGACUCUCUGGUCUGUAACUGACGCUGAGGAGCGAAAGCGUGGGGAGCGAACAGGAUUAGAUACCCGGGUAGUCCCUGUCUCUUAUAC
This 301-nucleotide ribosomal RNA is filed under the name uncultured bacterium. RNAcentral describes it as "partial 16S ribosomal RNA". It matches the Rfam family "Bacterial small subunit ribosomal RNA", at positions 509 to 807 of the family's 1533-position model. The record is from RNAcentral.